Molecule: ribosomal RNA, 460 nt
Filed under: uncultured bacterium
Lineage: Bacteria
Description: partial 16S ribosomal RNA
Rfam family: Bacterial small subunit ribosomal RNA
Source: RNAcentral
CCUACGGGAGGCAGCAGUGAGGAAUAUUGGUCAAUGGACGUAAGUCUGAACCAGCCAAGUAGCGUGAAGGAUGACUGCCCUAUGGGUUGUAAACUUCUUUUAUACGGGAAUAAAACGCGGCACGUGUGCCUUUUUGCAUGUACUUUAUGAAUAAGGACCGGCUAAUUCCGUGCCAGCAGCCGCGGUAAUACGGAAGGUCCGGGCGUUAUCCGGAUUUAUUGGGUUUAAAGGGAGCGUAGAUGGGGUGUUAAGGCAGUCGUGAAAGUCUGGGGCUCAACCGUGGAAUUGCGAUUGAAACUGGCUGUCUUGAGUGCGGGUAAGGUAUGCGGAAUUCGUGGUGUAGCGGUGAAAUGCUUAGAUAUCACGAAGAACCCCGAUUGCGAAGGCAGCUUACGAAAGUGUGACUGACACUGAUGCUCGAAAGUGUGGGUAUCAAACAGGAUUAGAUACCCCAGUAGUC